This 431-nucleotide ribosomal RNA is filed under the name uncultured bacterium. RNAcentral's name for it is "partial 16S ribosomal RNA". It matches the Rfam family "Bacterial small subunit ribosomal RNA", at positions 29 to 506 of the family's 1533-position model. The record is from RNAcentral.
AUGAACGCUAGCGGUGCGCCUAACACAUGCAAGUCGUGCGGCUCGCAAGAGCAGCGGCGAACGGGUGCGUAACACGUUGAAACCUCCCCCGAACUCAGGGAUAACCCACCGAAAGGUGGGCUAAUACCGGAUAGUCCCGUAAGGGUAAAGCCUCGGCGGUUCGGGAAGGGUCUGCGGAGUAUCAGCUAGUUGGUAGGGUAACGGCCUACCAAGGCUACGACGCUUAGCUGGUCUGAGAGGACGAUCAGCCACAAUGGAACUGAGACACGGUCCAUACUCCUACGGGAGGCAGCAGUGAGGAAUCUUCCGCAAUGGGCGAAAGCCUGACGGAGCGACACCGCGUGGAGGACGAAGGCGUUUUCGUUGUAAACUCCUUUUCUGAGGGAAUAACUGAUGAAUGUACCUCAGGAAUAAGCACCGGCUAACUACGU